UUCAUGUUCGCUUCUUAUCUCCUCUACCGCUGCUCUCCAAGAAAUCCAAGAAACGCAAGAAAGAAGUGCAGAAGAAAAGAUUAUUGUCUCUUCUACUGCUAUGUGUCAAGAAAUCCAAGAAACGCAAGAAAGAAGUGCAGAAGAAAAGAUUCUUAUCUCUUCUACUGCUAUGUGUCAAGAAAUCCAAGAAACGCAAGAAAGAAGUGCAGAAGAAAAGAUUCUUAUCUCUUCUACUGCUAUGUGUCAAGAAAUCCAAGAAACGCAAGAAAGAAGUGCAGAAGAAAAGAUUCUUGGAGGCUCCGCCCAUGCCACAUUGGAGAAGAGCGAGAGUCAUCAUUCCGUAGAAAACAGUCCUUCCGUGAAAACCAUCACUCUUCCCAUUCUGUCUUGGAAAACUUGGAGGAGAAAGCGAAUUUAAGCGCGGCGCAUCAACCCGCGAACUUGGAGCAAGCGUGGCGCAUCAGGUUGGAGGAAGGAAAUUCAAGCGCGGUGCAUCAAUCCCCGAACUUGGAGGAAAGGAAUUCAAGCGCUGGGAAGCGAAUCCAACCCCCUCAUCAACCCGCGACCAAAAUCGAGGGAAGAUGUCGAGUGGGAAGAGGUGGUUGGACCAUGCUUGAGGCGUUGAGCGAGAGAGUGCUAGUACCCGAGGCGUGAGCGACUGGCCCUGAAGGAUUAGUGUAAAUUAGGGCAUUACAAACUUAUGUCGUAUGGGGCGAGGCAUCAACCUAUCUGUUUUAUGUUUUUAUAGCCAAGAUUUGUGUUAUAUGGGUCAAGGCACCAACAUACCAACGUUAUCUGUUUUGUAUUUUUAUGGCCCACGGCUAUCGUUUCCUCGCAAUUUCAUGGUAUAUUUAUAGUUCUACUCUCUCCUAUGGAAUGCAAGCUCAGCGCAUCAAACCGUGAACUUGGAGGAAGGGAAUUCAAGCGCAUCAAUCUGCGAACUUGGAAGAAUGGAAUUCAAGCGUUGGGGAAGCGAAUCCAACCGCCAUGCAUCAACCUGCAAUCAAUGAAGGUGCCCCAAAUGGCCUGUUCUCCGCCAGGCCUACUGAUGUUAUCAUUGCAAGGCGGUAGCAGCAGCAAUCUACUUCCCCAAAAAGGAUCUCUACCAGGCCCUUAGAUAUUCGUUCAAGGCAUUGGUUUGACUGCCUAAGGAUGAUUCACAUAGGGAUCACCUUCAUCGGCAUUUGUAUCGUAAUGCUUGCCGUGGUCGCCUUGUUAGCCGUGUUUUAGUUGUUUUAGAUAUUUUACCGUUUCCAAGUUGAAAUGCACAGAUUUUAAACCAUGACGUAAAUCGCCAUGCCAAUUUGUCCUGUCAUUUACUGAGAUCCAAUCUUUUGGAA
Long non-coding RNA from Eucalyptus grandis, 1340 nucleotides. RefSeq lists it as uncharacterized. NCBI's taxonomy places the organism in Eukaryota, Viridiplantae, Streptophyta, Magnoliopsida, Myrtales, Myrtaceae. The transcript is spliced from 2 exons. The record is from RefSeq and is a predicted model, not a curated record.